CCCAGAUGUCGGUUUCAAUUAAACGCUGCCACCUGAUGUGUGCACUCACUGAGG
RNAcentral lists this small nucleolar RNA (54 nucleotides) under Euglena gracilis. Its description in RNAcentral is "Eg-m18.2". Lineage: Eukaryota; Euglenozoa; Euglenophyceae; Euglenales; Euglenaceae. The record is from RNAcentral.